GUGAGUUAGAGUUGAGUGAGGUAGAGUUAUGGCAGAGUGAGGUAGAGUUAUGGCAGAGUGAGGUAGAGUUAGAGUAGAGUGAGGUAGAGUUAUGGCAGAGUGAGGUAGAGUUAUGGCAGAGUGAGGUAGAGUUAGAGUAGAGUGAGGUAGAGUUAUGGCAGAGUGAGGUAGAGUUAUGGCAGAGUGAGGUAGAGUUAUGGCAGAGUGAGGUAGAGUUAUGGCAGUGUGAGGUAGAGUUAUGGCAGUGUGAGGUAGAGUUAGAGUAGAGUGAGGCA
Astyanax mexicanus (Mexican tetra) is the source of this 275-nucleotide long non-coding RNA. RefSeq lists it as uncharacterized. Lineage: Eukaryota; Metazoa; Chordata; Actinopteri; Characiformes; Acestrorhamphidae. The transcript has 3 exons. The record is from RefSeq and is a predicted model, not a curated record.